CAGGGAAUAUUAGUAAUGGGCGAAAGCCUGAACUAGCAACGCCGCGUGUGCGAAGAAGGCCUUCGGGUUGUAAAGCACUUUUUGAGAGGAUGAGGAAGGACGGUACUCUCGGAACAAGUCUCGGCUAACUACGUGCCAGCAGCCGCGGUAACACGUAGGAGGCGAACGUUAUCCGGAUUUACUGGGCGUAAAGCGCGUGUAGGUGGUUUGGUAAGUAGGGCGUGAAAGCUCCUGGCUCAACUGGGAGAGGCCGUUCUAAACUGCCGAACUAGAGGAUGGUAGAGGGAGGUGGAAUUCCGGGUGUAGCGGUGGAAUGCGCAGAUAUCCGGAGGAACACCAGUGGCGAAAGCGGCUUCCUGGACCAUUCCUGACACUCAGACGCGAAAGCUAGGGUAGCAAACGG
Molecule: ribosomal RNA, 403 nt
Filed under: uncultured bacterium
Lineage: Bacteria
Description: bacterial SSU rRNA
Rfam family: Bacterial small subunit ribosomal RNA
Source: RNAcentral